RNAcentral lists this ribosomal RNA (264 nucleotides) under uncultured bacterium. RNAcentral describes it as "partial 16S ribosomal RNA". It matches the Rfam family "Bacterial small subunit ribosomal RNA", at positions 91 to 353 of the family's 1533-position model. The record is from RNAcentral.
CUUAGUGGCGGACGGGUGAGUAACGCGUGAGUAACCUGCCUUUCAGAGGGGGAUAACGUUCUGAAAAGAACGCUAAUACCGCAUAAGCGCACAGGAUUGCAUGAUCCGGUGUGAAAAACUCCGGUGGUAUGAGAUGGACCCGCGUCUGAUUAGCCAGUUGGCAGGGUAACGGCCUACCAAAGCGACGAUCAGUAGCCGACCUGAGAGGGUGACCGGCCACAUUGGGACUGAGACACGGCCCAAACUCCUACGGGAGGCAGCAUG